UUCCCCCUUUAUGUUCAUUUAUUUCUAUUUUUUAUCAUGUUAACUAUGAUUUUUGUGAACGAUGAAUAUGGACUGAAUUCGGGACAACUUGGAAGGGAGAUGAUUGGUGCAUGAUCUGGAGAAGGAAAUUUGCUUUGAGACAAUACCUUGUAUAUGUGGUGCCUUCCCCAGUGAUUUACUCUUGGCCACUUUUCUGACCAUUGGUCUCUCCUCUGUGGCCAAUUAAGUGAUGAAACCCUUUCUACUUACUUUCUCACUUGUUGAACCUCCAGAUCAUAUGUUGACUGCCGCUGUGGCUCAAGUCCCAGUUGUUCUAUUUUUCUUUUUAUUUUUGAAUUUUUUUUAUAUAUGUCUGAUAUUUGUCUGAAUGUGUGAUCCUUUUUUGUUUCAGCCUUUUGUAAUUUUAUAAUAUUGUAUUUGUAUUUCUUGUGAAAAAUCCUCAAGGACUUGCUCAAUUGGCCUCACACAUGGGCCUCACACAUGGUAGGUGGGUGUUAUGAACCUGACUUAGUGAAGGGAAAUACGCGAAAGAGUGGGAAGGUUUCUGAAAAGGAAGGGAAGCAUGCAAGGAAUAAAUAAUGGCCAUUCUGCAGAUCUUGUAUAUGUAAGUAGUUCUUUGACAUUCUUUACAUGGCCAUAUUCUCUGACCUUUUCUAAUACUUUAGUACUUUGAUCCAUUUGAACUUCCAGCGCACAUGACUCAAUACCUUAUUGAUGUUUUGUCCUGGUACAUUUGGUAAUUGUACUGCAACUCUGGAAUUGAACUUCAAACAUCUGCUACUAUUUGUCGAAAUUGUCAUCAACUGCUUGAAAGCAAAGGUUUUGAACUGUAAUGGUUAAUUGACGUCUUAUCCUUUUUUCUCAGUGCUUUUAGCUGACUACAUUACCAGGGCUUGGAAUUUGACGGUGAUCCUGGUAGCCUCCGAAGCCUUAAAACACUAAAGAUGCUUGCCUUUUUCGGUUAUAUCAGCUUCAAAUACAGGGAGUUGAUGAAAUGUAUGUGCAGCCUUUAUGGUUGAAGUGAUAUAACAAAAAAAUAAUAAUUGGGGCUUGUAUGGAAAACAGGAUAAUAAACAAUGUUUGAAUAUAGUAUGAUACAGAUUAAGAGAGAUA
This 1113-nucleotide long non-coding RNA is filed under the name Aquilegia coerulea. RNAcentral describes it as "long non-coding RNA (ACOE_LNC000845)". The record is from RNAcentral. Lineage: Eukaryota; Viridiplantae; Streptophyta; Magnoliopsida; Ranunculales; Ranunculaceae.